Molecule: ribosomal RNA, 1001 nt
Filed under: uncultured bacterium
Lineage: Bacteria
Description: bacterial SSU rRNA
Rfam family: Bacterial small subunit ribosomal RNA
Source: RNAcentral
AGUGGGGAAUAUUGCACAAUGGAGGAAACUCUGAUGCAGCAACGCCGCGUGGAGGAUGACGCAUUUCGGUGUGUAAACUCCUUUUAUAUGGGAAGAUAAUGACGGUACCAUAUGAAUAAGCACCGGCUAACUCCGUGCCAGCAGCCGCGGUAAUACGGAGGGUGCAAGCGUUACUCGGAAUCACUGGGCGUAAAGCGCGCGCAGGCGGACUAAUAAGCUAGAAGUGAAAUGCUGUGGCUCAACCAUAGAACUGCUUCUAGAACUGUUAGUCUAGAGUCUGGGAGGGGAAGAUGGAAUUAGUUGUGUAGGGGUAAAAUCCGUAGAGAUAACUAGGAAUACCAAAAGCGAAGGCGAUCUUCUGGAACAGUACUGACGCUGAGGCGCGAAAGCGUGGGGAGCAAACAGGAUUAGAUACCCUGGUAGUCCACGCCCUAAACGAUGAAUGUUAGUCGUUGGAUAGCUAGUCUAUUCAGUGAUGCAGUUAACACAUUAAACAUUCCGCCUGGGGAGUACGGUCGCAAGAUUAAAACUCAAAGGAAUAGACGGGGACCCGCACAAGUGGUGGAGCAUGUGGUUUAAUUCGAAGAUACGCGAAGAACCUUACCUAGCCUUGACAUUGAUAGAACACUUUAGAGAUAGAGUGGUGCCCUUCGGGGAACUUGAAAACAGGUGCUGCACGGCUGUCGUCAGCUCGUGUCGUGAGAUGUUGGGUUAAGUCCCGCAACGAGCGCAACCCUCGUGACUAGUUACUAACGGUUCGGCCGAGGACUCUAGUCAGACUGCCUUCGCAAGGAGGAGGAAGGUGAGGACGACGUCAAGUCAUCAUGGCCCUUACGGCUAGGGCGACACACGUGCUACAAUGGGUAGGACAAUGAGAAGCGAUACCGCGAGGUGGAGCAAAUCUAUAAACCUACUCUCAGUUCGGAUAGCAGUCUGCAACUCGACUGCUUGAAGCUGGAAUCACUAGUAAUCGUAGAUAAGGCAUGCUACGGUGAAUACGU